RNAcentral lists this ribosomal RNA (253 nucleotides) under uncultured bacterium. RNAcentral describes it as "partial 16S ribosomal RNA". It matches the Rfam family "Bacterial small subunit ribosomal RNA", at positions 524 to 776 of the family's 1533-position model. The record is from RNAcentral.
UACGUAGGGUGCAAGCGUUAAUCGGAAUUACUGGGCGUAAAGCGUGCGCAGGCGGCUUUGCAAGACAGAUGUGAAAUCCCCGGGCUCAACCUGGGAACUGCAUUUGUGACUGCAAAGCUGGAGUACGGCAGAGGGGGAUGGAAUUCCGCGUGUAGCAGUGAAAUGCGUAGAUAUGCGGAGGAACACCGAUGGCGAAGGCAAUCCCCUGGGCCUGUACUGACGCUCAUGCACGAAAGCGUGGGGAGCAAACAGG